Molecule: ribosomal RNA, 520 nt
Filed under: uncultured bacterium
Lineage: Bacteria
Description: partial 16S ribosomal RNA
Rfam family: Bacterial small subunit ribosomal RNA
Source: RNAcentral
AACGAACGCUGGCGGCGUGCCUAACACAUGCAAGUCGCACGAGAAUUGGUAGCAAUACCAUAGUAAAGUGGCGCACGGGUGAGUAAUACACAGAUCAUCUACCUUUUAGAGGGGCACAACCUGUCGAAAGACGGGCUAAUUCCCCGUACGUCCUCGAGAGCGUAAGGCUCUUGAGGGGAAAGCUGGCCUCUAUUUAUAAGCUAGCGCUGAAAGUUGAGUCUGUGUCCCAUCAGCUAGUUGGUGAGGUAAUGGCUCACCAAGGCUAAGACGGGUAGCUGGUCUGAGAGGACGAUCAGCCACACUGGAACUGAAACACGGUCCAGACUCCUACGGGAGGCAGCAGUGGGGAAUAUUGGACAAUGGGGGAAACCCUGAUUCAGCAACGCCGCGUGAGGGAAGAAGGCCUUCGGGUUGUAAACCUCUGUCGGAGGGGACGAAACCUAUCAUGGCUAACAUCCAUGGUAAUUGACGGUACCCUCAAAGGAAGCAACGGCUAACCUCGUGCCAGCCGCCGCAGUAA